UGGGGUUGAGCGUCAGUGGUAGAGCACUUGUCUCGCAUGCAUGAAGCCCUGGGUUUGAUCCUCAGCACCACAU
This 73-nucleotide transfer RNA is filed under the name Marmota monax (woodchuck). Its description in RNAcentral is "tRNA.Ala". The record is from RNAcentral. Lineage: Eukaryota; Metazoa; Chordata; Mammalia; Rodentia; Sciuridae.